RNAcentral lists this ribosomal RNA (3951 nucleotides) under Triticum aestivum (bread wheat). RNAcentral's name for it is "partial small subunit ribosomal RNA". Lineage: Eukaryota; Viridiplantae; Streptophyta; Magnoliopsida; Poales; Poaceae. The record is from RNAcentral.
AUGCUCGUGGCCCUCAGCGCGGCGCGGUGGGUGGUGGGCAAGGCGCUGGCCCCUGUAGCCGAUGGCUUGCUGGAGGCUUGGGAUGCCAGCAAGCGCCUGGGUCUCAACAUCGAGGCCCUGAGGACGGAGCUGCUGCUCGUGCAGGCCACCCUCGAAGCCGCCAGCCGCAAGCAGAUCGACGGCCCGGCCUUGGAGGAGCUGCUGGGGAAGCUGCGGCACUCGGCGCACUCCGCUGAGGACUUGCUGGACGAGCUGGACUACUUCCGCAUCCACGACGAGCUCCACGACACGUACGACGCCGCCGACCAGCAUGCCAAGGGAUGCCUCCAUGACCUUGCCCUCAACGCUCGUCACACCGCCAAAGCUGUGCUUGGUUUAUCUGCGUGCUCGUCUGCUGCCUGUUGUCCCAAUGAACCCGGAGAAGUGGAAGAUGCCAGACAACAACAGGCCAGCUGUUGCACUUGGCCACGUGGUAGGCAGAGGUCUCGCGGCGAUUCCUCCUCGACGCCAAACACCAAUCAGGUUGAUGAGGACGGCGGGUGCAUGCUCAAGCUCGGUAAACUCCUCCCUUGCUCAUAUUUGCCGCGUGUUCGUGAUGAUCAUUCUGGCCAGCCAACUCACUCUGGCGCGCCACGGAGAGCAGCACCAAUGCUGGGGUUUAAUAGGGUUGAUGUCUCUGAAAGAAUGAAGCGUGUCAUAGAGCAAUUGCAGCCUGUGCGUACGGAGGUUGCCAAGGUUCUGCAGAGUUGUGGCCGUACGAUUGUCCCAGAUAUUGCCAAGAGUCGUCCCAUCACCACCGGUCAGAGCAUAGAGCCAAAACUGUAUGGGAGGGUCCAUAUCAUGAAUGGCAUCAUACAUGAUAUGACCAAGGGUAGAUACCAUAGCAAGGAUCUAACUGUGCUUCCGAUUGUCGGUCCAGGGGGGAUAGGGAAGACAACUCUGAUACAACACAUAUAUAGAAACCAACAGGUUAGAAAUCAUUUUCAAGUUGUUAUUUGGGUGUGCGUGUCACUCAAAUUCAAUUUGAAUAAACUUUUGGAAGAGAUCGAAACAUAUAUCCCUCGUGUUGAAGGGGAAAAAUAUGGCAGGGUGGAAGAGCUGAUUGAGCAGAGAUUAAGAUCUAAAAGGUUUUUGCUUGUACUGGAUGAUAUAUGGGAGUUUAGUGACGAGGAUGAUUGGAAAAGGUUAUUGCUGCCACUCAAAACAUCACAAGAAAAAGGUAGCAUGAUCCUACUCACAACUCGGUUUCCAAUAAUAGCAAAGAUGGUUAAAACAACUGAUUAUAUAGAGUUGGAGGGAUUAGAAUCCGAACAAUUUAGGAAGUUAUUCCUUAGAUUUAUCUUUGGUGAUGAGCCCUUUAGAAGUGAUCAUAAUUUUUUGCUCGAUACCGGAGAUAAGAUAAUGGAAAAACUAAAGGGCUCCCCUCUUGCUGCAAAAACUGUUGGUACAUUACUGAGAAAGUGCCUUAAUUUGCGUCAUUGGAGAAGGGUUUUAGAAAGUAAAGAAUGGGAGAGACAAACCGGUGCCAAUGACAUUAUGCCUGCCCUGAAGCUUAGCUAUGACUAUCUUUCUUUCCAUCAACAACAAUGUUUCUUCUAUUCUGCACUAUUUCCGGAAGAUCAUGAGUAUAGUACCACUGAGCUAAUCAAUUUGUGGAUAGGACUAGAUAUUUUACAACCUGGUGUGCAGAAUCAAACAUUGGAAGGUGUAGGUUUAAUGAAUUUAAAUGAUCUGGUCACACAUGGAUUUUUCAAAGAAGAGGAAACUAAUGGUCGUGUGCGUUAUGUAAUGCAUGACCUGCUACAUGAUUUAGCACUAAAGGUUGGGUCUCAUGAAUGUCUUACUGUACAUCAGUCUAAUGUGGGGUCAGUAGAAAUUAAGCCAUCUAUUCGUCACUUGUCUAUAAUCAUUGAUGAUGAUCAUACAAUGUGUGAUGAAAACUUUAAGAGCCAAUUGAGAAAGCUGAAGACAAGAUUGAAGGUUAGAGAAUUGCAUACUUUGAUGUUAUUUGGAGAAAUGGACGAAAGCUUUUCCCACAUUUUGAAUGAUUUGUUUAAGGAAGCUAAUGCCCUUCGCUUUAUCCGUUUGGUUGACAUGUCGUCUUCUGUGGAGUUCAUAUUACCUAACAAUUCAGCACUUGUCCACCUACGGUACCUAUGUUUGGGGACAAAGUAUAUGAGGGAGAUACCACUUGCCAUUUCCAAAUUUUAUCAUUUAAGGAUUCUAGAUCUUGGAUGGUGGCAUGGCUGUUGCGAUGUGCCAAAAGACUUGAGCAACCUUGCAAAAUUGCGUCAUUUUUAUACCCCAAGUGAUGAGCUUCAUUCUCAUAUUUAUAAUGUGGGGAAACUUACACUCUUAGAAGAGUUGAAGGUAUUUAAAGUCAAUAAAGAAAGUGAAGGAUUUGAACCAAAGCAACUUGAGCAUUUGACGGAACUAAGGGAACUUGGCAUGUAUAACCUUGAGAAUAUACACACGAAAGAAGAAGCAACCAAAGCAAAAUUGAUUGAAAAAAAUUACUUGGAGAGGUUAACCUUAGAUUGGGAUACUGAGCGGUCUAAUAGCAAGCCUGAUGUGGAAGAGGUGGUUCUUGAGAGCCUUCAACCACAUAGAUAUCUUCAAGAGUUGUCUAUUAGAGGGCAUGGAGGCCCUUCCUGUCCAACAUGGCUAGGUGAUAAGCUCACGGUUGAAGGUCUUCAAUCUCUUCAUCUCAUCGGUGUUUCUUGGCAAUGUCUCCCUUCUUUUGGGAAGAUGUGGGAUCUUCGUACAUUAAUAUUGAAGCAUAUUGCUGCAACAAAGGAGUUUGUUAUAGAGCAAACCUUCUGUGGGCUAAGAAGGCUUGAACUUGUUGGACUGGCAAACUUUGAGAAAUGGGUACCAUCACAGGAUGCUCAUCAUGUGUUUCCUCUUUUGCAAGUACUGAUUAUUAGAGACUGCCCUAAACUCUUGGAGUUGCCAUUUUCAAACCACAUUGUUGAUCAAGAUUGGAGCAUUGAUUGGUUUCCCAAAUUGCAAGAGCUUCAGAUAGAGAACUGUCCGGAAUUCUUGUUAGUGGCUCAUAUCCCUUGGACUGAAACUCUCCAUUCUGUAAAAAUACGAAGCGUAAAACUACUAGAGAAGUUUGAGUACUCAAAAUCAUCCUACAGAGCAGGAUUGGAGAUUGUUGGAAAGGGUGAUCUACAGAUGUUAGAUCAGGUGUUAGCAUUCAAUAACCUGACAGGUCUUGAGCAGCUGAUGCUAUCCACUGGCUCGUUUUCCUCCCCUUGCUGCUUCAUUUUCCCGCCCUCUCUGCAAUACCUUAUUAUUUCCGGUGUGGAAGGUAUGGGGACACUGGAGCCGCUCUCAAACCUCACCUCUCUCACCCGAUUAGUAUUGGAGAACUGUGGAGAGGAUCAAAGCUGCAAGGGCCUGGGACCUCUCCUUGCCGUCGGGGGACAGCUCAGAGAAUUACUCAUCUAUGGCAGCCCUAGAUUCUUUGUUGGAUGGGAUCCCAAUCCCAGGCAGGUGCUGCAGGAUGGAGGAGGAGAAGAGCAUGAGCUGCUUGUUUCCACCCCAAAUUCAUCAAAACUGCAGGAGCUUUGUACGGAUGAGGCCAUGGGACUCCUUGUUGUGCCCAUCUGUAGCUUCCUGUCUUCCUCCCUCACCCGCCUGCAUCUCUAUGGAAACCAAAAGAUGAAGUGCUUCACCAAGGAGCAAGAGGGCGCCCUUCACCUCCUCGCAUCCCUCCAGGAGCUCGAGUUUUCGAUGUUCGACAAGCUUCAGAGCCUCCCUGCAGGGCUGCACAAGCUGACCAGCCUCAGACGAUUAGAGGUCCGCUCAUGUCCGUGCGUCCGGUCGCUGCCCGAGGAUGGCCUCCCCGAAUUACUGCAACAGUUAGAUGUCUGGCUCUGCAACAAUGAGGAGCUAAAACAGCAGUGCAGGGGGUUAGCGGGAACCAUCCCAAAAAUCAAUUAG